This 500-nucleotide long non-coding RNA is filed under the name Equus caballus (horse). RNAcentral describes it as "lncRNA (ENSECAG00000051830.1)". Lineage: Eukaryota; Metazoa; Chordata; Mammalia; Perissodactyla; Equidae. The record is from RNAcentral.
GGCAGGGGCCACAAGGUAAGGAAUGUAGGCAGCUUCUAGAACCCAUGAAAGGAUAGAGAAUGGAUUGUCCCCUAGAGCCUCGAGAAUGAAUGCGUCCUUGCCUAGAUCUUGAUGAUAGCCCAGGGAAACCCAUUCCAGAUUUCUGAACUUCAGAACUGUCAAACUGUUCUCACUGGAUCAAGAACUGUGUUAUCUGAAUUGAUUUGCAAAUUCUGUGGUCCUUCAAGACCUAAAAUCCAGAAAAAGCAACACAACGGAUUCUGUGCAAAACUUCCUUCUUCAAGCAGGAAUCUGCUGCGCUUGGAUAUGUCUAACUGAUGUACUCGGGCUCACAUUGACCAAGCUAGCUGCAAAUGAGGGGCUGAGGAGGCAAGUUUUCUGUCUUUUAUCUUGGAGAGCCAGGGCUCUGAACUAGGAAACUUCCCCAAAUAUAGCAACAAUGUUCAGAUACUAGGCAACUAGAAAAUUUGCCAAUGUUUUGUGCAUUAAACAAAUUAAAA